UCCUUUCUUCAAAACGGGAGACGGCCUCAUACAGCUGUAUGAAAACUUCAUCAGUGACUUCGAACACAGAAUCAACCCCCUGUCUCUGGUAGAAAUCAUCCUUUAUGUCGCAAGGCAGAUGCCAGAUCCUAAAAAUGCCAUCACUUUUCUGGAGAAGACCAAAGAGAAGGUGAAAAGCAGUGAAGAAGCCGUGAUUCUCUGCAAGACGUCCAUCGGCAGGCUGAAGCUGGAGAUCAGCGACCUUCCUGCCACCAAG
Molecule: non-coding RNA, 256 nt
Organism: Poecilia reticulata (guppy)
Lineage: Eukaryota; Metazoa; Chordata; Actinopteri; Cyprinodontiformes; Poeciliidae
Source: RefSeq, a predicted model, not a curated record